AACGGGUGGAGCCUGCGGUUUAAUCGGACUCAACGCCGGGAAACUCACCAGAUAAGACAGCUGAAUGAUAGUCGGGCUGAAGACUCUACUUGACUAGCUGAGAGGAGGUGCAUGGCCGUCGUCAGUUCGUACUGUGAAGCAUCCUGUUAAGUCAGGCAACGAGCGAGACCCACGCCAACAGUUGCCAGCUCGUCCUCCGGGAUGGUGGGGACACUGUUGGGACCGCCUCUGCUAAAGAGGAGGAAGGAAUGGGCAACGGUAGGUCAGCAUGCCCCGAAUUAUCUGGGCUACACGCGGGCUACAAUGGGUGGGACAAUGGGUAUCGACACCGAAAGGUGAAGGCAAUCUCCUAAACCCAUCCGUAGUUCGGAUUGUGGGCUGCAACUCGCCCACAUGAAGCUGGAAUCUGUAGUAAUCGCGUCUCAAAAUGGCGCGGUGAAUAUGUCCCUGCUCCUU
Molecule: ribosomal RNA, 456 nt
Filed under: uncultured Methanomicrobiales archaeon
Lineage: Archaea; Methanobacteriati; Methanobacteriota; Methanomicrobia; Methanomicrobiales
Description: bacterial SSU rRNA
Rfam family: Archaeal small subunit ribosomal RNA
Source: RNAcentral